This 2584-nucleotide long non-coding RNA is filed under the name Homo sapiens (human). Its description in RNAcentral is "non-protein coding CA3-AS1:13". The record is from RNAcentral. Lineage: Eukaryota; Metazoa; Chordata; Mammalia; Primates; Hominidae.
CUCUCGGCUGGCGCCCGGCGGGGCUCCGGGGCUCCGGGGCUCCGGGGCUCCUCUCCCGCCGCCCGGCUCCCCUCGGCCCACGGCAGGGCCCCGGUGUCCUGGGCUGGCAGCGAAGCUCGGAGCUCUGGGCGUGCGGCGGCUGCGGUGGCUCCUGGGCUCCUCCGUCCAACCCGGGCCGCGGAGCCUCUACGCGCACCCCAUCCCCCUCCCGGCUGCGGAGUCUGGCGGCGGCGGGGACUGCUCGGGACCCGGACCCCCGGCGCCUUUCGUCCCCUGUCCCCAUUGUGACCUGUCUCUUGGCCCCGGAGCCCUCCCGCCCCACCCGCGCCGGGGUCUCCAGCGCGAAGGGCUCAGUCUCUGGUGUCCCCGGCCUGGGGCUGGCAAGCUGGGUUAGGAGCUAUGACCUUGGGGCAAAUAGGGAUACGAUCCUAGAGGCGCAGGGGAGCGCGCAGCAUGAGUGCUGAGAGGCACGCGCCCUCUGCUGCACGGCCGUGGAAUAAAACGAGACAACGGCCCCACAGUCCCCUGCCCGCAGCCCACGCUCGGGCGAGCCUGGAGGAUUGCAUUUCCUCGUAGGCUGGCAGAGCCUUACAUGAAGCGCUCAUCUUCUCCUACUUUCCUCCUCUUUAAAAAAUUAACGUGGGUGAGGAGACGUCCUAGUUGAGUACAUAUUGAUUUGAAAUAACCAAAACUUUUAACAAAUCACUUUUCUCAGAAGAAUCCAGUAAGAGAAAGAUAAUUUCUUCCAAAGACAUGAGACGUUCCCUGGCUGGCCAAGAAAAAUUGGCAUCUGGCAUACCUAGGAAUCAUUCAAAAUAGUUUAAUAGGAAGGACAUUUUGAGGCCAGCCAGCAUUAUGACAUUUGUGGGUCCUACGGCAUUUCACCUUGGAAACAUUUUCCUGGGCAUCUAAAAGUAUUGUGGACCUGAGACACUGUGCUUACAGGGCCUACUGGUUUUCACUGUAUGAGACCGAGAAUGGAUUAUGGCAGUUCCUCUUACCUCCGCUGCAUACUUGACUCCAUCCACGGUGUGCUCAGAGCCAUGAUCAUCCGAAGAGCCCCAGUGAAGAUGAAACUGGCGAAGUCGGUAGGGUCCAGGGAGAGGACCCCCUCUCAGCACUGUGAUUCAGAUAAGCUUGGUCAACAGUGAAUUCAUGCUUCUUUUACAGAGCUCUACUUUAACCAAGUGCUCUUAGAGCCAAGGCUUAAUGGACAAAAUGUGGUCAGUUUGCUGGGUGGAUGGUGCCACUCCCAGGACACUGGACUCCUCACAAAAUGAAGUCUGGGGAUAUGUCAAGAUAAAUGAUUGUUCUUUUCUGUCUUUCUUAUUUUGUUUGCUUGUUUCAUUAUUAUUGAAACAUCAUUUUAACAUUUAGGAAAGCAAAAUUAAAACAACAGAUAGACAAUGAGGAUGCAUACACCCAAAGAACAAGUCAGUAGUGUGGUGCAGUGGGAAGAACUGGACAGUUGAGAACCAGGUGGAGGUAGGUUUCCAAUGCUGGCUUCACCCCUUGCUAGUUCUGUGGUCUCAGGCAAGUUGCUAAACUUCUCUGAACCCACUUUCACAUCUCUAAGAAGGUGAUAAUAAUACCAAACUUUCAGAGCUGCUGUGAAGAUUAACUGAGAUUAAGCACCUUAAAGUGCUCAUCAUAGUGCCUGCAUGAUGAUCACUGAGCAGAUGUGAAUUCCUUCUCCACGUGUUGCUUCCAACUACACUUUUCUUCAAGACAACGAGCAAAAACUUUCAUCUACGUCUAAUUUAGACUGUGUCUAUUCAAAUGAGAUGAAAUGGAAAAUUCAGAAAUUUCCCAGAAAACCAAUCAAUGUGGAUGAUUAAACUAGAUAAUUCUCAGCAGCAUUAAUUUGGGCUUGUUGAUAAACAUCUCAACCCAUUGCAGAGUGAUUUAGAGGUUCAAAUGUCUUCCAAAGUAUAUUGGAAACUAUGCAGAAACCCUAAGAUCAAGAUUUGGCAAUAUAAGCUAGAUCAAAAUAGAAUUCAGAGCAUAGCUAUUUUAGAAGAGGUUGCCCACACUAAGUGGCCCAGGGAAAGCCAUAAAUAUAGACCUCAAACAAUGAGGCUAGGCCUAUAUGAGUUUGUUCAGGUAGAAAUGGAGUGGUUCAAUUCAUUGCAUUUUUCCUGUCCAACCACUCAGAACAGUUAUUAUAGGGACAUGUGAGUCCAAUUUAUUAGAAGAAACUAUAUGAAAUUGACAAUAUUCAACUAUUUUUGCACACAAAAAUGGCAUUUUCAUAUGGUUCAACCUAAUAGAUAUGUUUAAUUUUGUUAUGUUGCUUUCAAAAUGGUACUUGAUAUAUAAGGAGAAGGGGAAAAAAGGAAACAAUAGCAAUACGAAACCACUGUUUAAGAAAAUUUAAAUUUCUGUAACUUGGAACCUCCUGGUAGGUAGGAAUUAUGAAUAUCAUUCUUCAUUACAAAAUCAUUAAGAAUGUUCAUUUAUGUAUAUCAAUAAAUAUAACUUUAUUAGAGAUGGGGCUAUAAGGAAUUAUUUUGCUGUAUAUCAAGCACCAAAAUAUUAAAGGAAGAUUCUUUCUUACCUCAUUUAUCGUGAAAUAAAGUAUUUC